AUACGGAGGGUGCAAGCGUUGUUCGGAAUCACUGGGCGUAAAGGGCGCGCAGGCGGUUUGGUAAGUCAGAUGUGAAAGCCCACGGCUCAACCGUGGAAGUGCAUUUGAAACUGUCAGACUUGAGUACUAGAGGGGAAAGUGGAAUUCCCGGUGUAGAGGUGAAAUUCGUAGAUAUCGGGAGGAAUACCGGUGGCGAAGGCGACUUUCUGGCUAGAUACUGACGCUGAGGCGCGAAAGCGUGGGGAGCGAACAGGAUUAGAAACCCCAGUAGUCC
Molecule: ribosomal RNA, 274 nt
Filed under: uncultured bacterium
Lineage: Bacteria
Description: partial 16S ribosomal RNA
Rfam family: Bacterial small subunit ribosomal RNA
Source: RNAcentral